UCCGUAGGUGAACCUGCGGAAGGAUCAUUACCGAGUGAGGGCCCUCUGGGUCCAACCUCCCACCCGUGUUUAUUUUACCUUGUUGCUUCGGCGGGCCCGCCUUAACUGGCCGCCGGGGGGCUUACGCCCCCGGGCCCGCGCCCGCGGAAGACACCCUCGAACUCUGUCUGAAGAUUGUAGUCUGAGUGAAAAUAUAAAUUAUUUAAAACUUUCAACAACGGAUCUCUUGGUUCCGGCAUCGAUGAAGAACGCAGCGAAAUGCGAUACGUAAUGUGAAUUGCAAAUUCAGUGAAUCAUCGAGUCUUUGAACGCACAUUGCGCCCCCUGGUAUUCCGGGGGGCAUGCCUGUCCGAGCGUCAUUUCUGCCCUCAAGCACGGCUUGUGUGUUGGGCCCCGUCCUCCGAUCCCGGGGGACGGGCCCGAAAGGCAGCGGCGGCACCGCGUCCGGUCCUCGAGCGUAUGGGGCUUUGUCACCCGCUCUGUAGGCCCGGCCGGCGCUUGCCGAUCAACCCAAAUUUUUAUCCAGGUUGACCUCGGAUCAGGUAG
RNAcentral lists this ribosomal RNA (546 nucleotides) under Penicillium nalgiovense. Its description in RNAcentral is "eukaryotic LSU rRNA". The stretch from base 207 to 359 matches the Rfam family "5.8S ribosomal RNA". Lineage: Eukaryota; Fungi; Ascomycota; Eurotiomycetes; Eurotiales; Aspergillaceae. The record is from RNAcentral.